This 124-nucleotide small RNA is filed under the name Escherichia coli. RNAcentral describes it as "partial RtT sRNA". It matches the Rfam family "RtT RNA", at positions 41 to 130 of the family's 130-position model. Rfam says of the family: This family represents a bacterial cis-regulatory element known as RtT RNA. The exact function of RtT is unknown although it is thought that it may be involved in changing the cellular response in relation to amino acid starvation. The record is from RNAcentral. Lineage: Bacteria; Pseudomonadati; Pseudomonadota; Gammaproteobacteria; Enterobacterales; Enterobacteriaceae.
GUUCGAAUCCUGCACGACCCACCAAUCGCUAAGGUGGAAGCGGUAGUAAAACGUGAAGGAUAACGUUGCAUCAGCAACGGCCCGAAGGGCGAGACGAAGUCGAGUCAUCCUGCACGACCCACCA